This 653-nucleotide ribosomal RNA is filed under the name uncultured bacterium. RNAcentral describes it as "bacterial SSU rRNA". The stretch from base 1 to 535 matches the Rfam family "Bacterial small subunit ribosomal RNA", at positions 338 to 873 of the family's 1533-position model. The record is from RNAcentral.
CCUACGGGAGGCAGCAGUGAGGAAUAUUGGACAAUAGGCGCAAGCCUGAUCCAGCCAUGCCGCGUGCAGGAAGAAGCAUCUAUGGUGUGUAAACUGCUUUUGUACAGGAAGAAACACUCCCUCGUGAGGGAGCUUGACGGUACUGUAAGAAUAAGGACCGGCUAACUCCGUGCCAGCAGCCGCGGUAAUACGGAGGGUCCGAGCGUUAUCCGGAAUCAUUGGGUUUAAAGGGUCCGUAGGCGGUUUAAUAAGUCAGUGGUGAAAUCUGGUCGCUCAACGAUCAAACGGCCAUUGAUACUGUUAGACUUGAAUUAUAAGGAAGUAACUAGAAUAUGUAGUGUAGCGGUGAAAUGCUUAGAUAUUACAUGGAAUACCAAUUGCGAAGGCAGGUUACUACUUAUGGAUUGACGCUGAUGGACGAAAGCGUGGGGAGCGAACAGGAUUAGAUACCCUGGUAGUCCACGCCGUAAACGAUGGAUACUAGCUGUUCGGAGCAAUCUGAGUGNGUAGACGAAGAGAGUAAGUAAGUACCACCGUCGGGAGGUACGGUUAACGGUCGAAGAAAGUUAGUAAACGUUAACUUAAAUAAGUUAAGUUAGUUACGGCGUUGGAGACGUUAGCCGACGGACGACCGACGAGGGGAGGUUAGGAGG